GGGGGUAUAGUUCAGCGGUAGAGCAUUUCACUGCAGAUCGAGAGGUCCCGGUUCAAACCCGGGUGCCCCCU
RNAcentral lists this transfer RNA (71 nucleotides) under Trichonephila inaurata madagascariensis. It matches the Rfam family "tRNA". From Rfam's summary of the family: Transfer RNA (tRNA) molecules are approximately 80 nucleotides in length. Their secondary structure includes four short double-helical elements and three loops (D, anti-codon, and T loops). Further hydrogen bonds mediate the characteristic L-shaped molecular structure. tRNAs have two regions of fundamental functional importance: the anti-codon, which is responsible for specific mRNA codon recognition, and the 3' end, to which the tRNAs corresponding amino acid is attached (by aminoacyl-tRNA synthetases). tRNAs cope with the degeneracy of the genetic code in two manners: having more than one tRNA (with a specific anti-codon) for a particular amino acid; and 'wobble' base-pairing, i.e. permitting non-standard base-pairing at the 3rd anti-codon position. Lineage: Eukaryota; Metazoa; Arthropoda; Arachnida; Araneae; Nephilidae. The record is from Rfam by way of RNAcentral.